GGAAGGUAAAAGUCGUAACAAGGUUUCCGUAGGUGAACCUGCGGAAGGAUCAUUCACAGUAAGUGUUUUUAUGGCACUUUAAAAUCCAUAUCCACCUUGUGUGCAACGUUUUGAGGUCUUUUUAUCAUUUCGCCGGCUGCAGAAUGUUUGUUCUACAGCCGCGGAAGGCAAGAUAAGGAGGCUUUUUAUAUCUUAACUCUUGAUCUUUAACAAAUUUGUCUGAAAAUCUAUUGCGAAUUAACUUUCAAAAUAAAUACAACUUUCAACAACGGAUCUCUUGGCUCUC
This 286-nucleotide unclassified non-coding RNA is filed under the name plant metagenome. Its description in RNAcentral is "partial contains small subunit ribosomal RNA, internal transcribed spacer 1, and 5.8S ribosomal RNA". The stretch from base 1 to 55 matches the Rfam family "Eukaryotic small subunit ribosomal RNA", at positions 1777 to 1831 of the family's 1831-position model. The record is from RNAcentral.